AGCUCAGAGGUUGUUCGGCCUCAGGGCAGGUCAACAGCUAGAGAAGAAGGGAGCUGGCGGGGCGAGCGGCUGCCUCUUUGACCUCAUUGUCCUGCCUCUUGAAGGAUCGUCAAAACAGUGUUGGAAAGCACCAGUGAACCAUCUUGUAAGUAAUUUGUGCCAUCUUGGUUCCUUUUCCCUUCUCUCUGUUUGUGGCUCAGUUCUUUCCUCUUCCCCACGUACGCCCCUCUCUUUCUAGUGAUCUCAGGGUGGGCACCUGGGGAUCCCAGGCCAAAUCAGGCCUUCCAAGGAAUGCUGCCUAGUCCCCUUCCAAAGUGCCAAUCUAGAGGGGAAGAAAGGAAUGGGAGGGAGGCAGUCAUGGCAGGUGGCCCUGCUUUCAAUGUUGGGAAACAAGCCAGCCAGACCACGGCCUGUCUCUGGAGAGGAAAUUUGCUCUGCAGAAAUCAGUCCGCUAAUCGAUCCAAAGGAGUUAGCUGUGCUAGUCUGUAGUAGCAAAAUAGUAACGAGUCCAGCAGCACCUUUAAGACUAACCAACUAAUGCGUGCAUCUAACGAAGAGAGCUGUGGUUCUCGAAAGAUUAUGCUACAGUAAAGUUGGCUAGUCUUAAAGGUGCUACUGGACUCUUUACCAGCCAGCAAAUGUAAUCGACUGACCUGGAUGGGUCAGUACAGUCAGAUACUGUCAGCUCUCAGAAGGUAAGCUGAGACUGUGCUGGUUAAUACUUGGGUGGACAACCAGAGAAGAUGAGGGUUGUUACAUAGAGGCGGGUGAUGGCAAACCGUCUCUUGUUCAUCUGUUGCCUUGAAAAUCCCAUGAGAGGCUGCCAUAAAUUGGCUGUGACUUGAUGGCACUGUGAACACAUCAAAGGCACAACUACUCAAAGGACAACUACAAGGUCCAUUUCAAAGUUGGUCACCUCAAUUGACCUGCCAUUCCUCUGCCUCAGAAACAGGCUUUCCCAAAGAAAUUAGUUCCUGACCAGGGACCUAAAUAGAUGCUUGUAGAAAUGACCAACCUGUUCACAAUUGUGUGUCUUUCCCUCUUUAUGUCUACUCUGGCAUCAGAGCCCCUGAGGAUGGGCGGUUUAUAAAUCGAAGUAGUAGUAGUAGUAGUAGUAGUAGUAGUAGUAGUAGUAAUAACAAUAAUCUUCCUGUUCUGCUUCCACUGUACAUUCCCUGAGCCAAACCCAUCUCUGGCCCUUAUCCCUGCUGAGUGGUAUUUCUGCUUGGCCCAAAUGGUGCAAAUGCGCCCCCCCCACCUCACCCCCCAAACCCACCUCCAGUUUAGACCACGACAAAACUUCUGCAUGGAAGUGACAAGCAAAUUUUCUAUCUGGCUUGCUGGAUACUUUGUACAGUUUCAGCCAUCUCUGCAUGAUUUCUGUGAGGUGAAGAAAUUAUUAGUGAGAUAAAAAAAAAAGUCCUCCUCCUCCGGUGUGCCUUAUGUUAGCCAGGCUGUUUCUAAUGGGAGGGCAAGGAUAACAGAGAUGGAGUUGCCUAGAGUAGGCGAGGGCUGGAGUUCUCCCAGAAUUAAAGGUGGUCCCUAGAUCAUAGAGGACAGUUCCCCUGGAGAAAAUGGCUGCUCUGGAGGGGGGACUCUACCACUUUCUAUCCUGCGGAGACCCCCUCCCUUUCCCAGGUUCUGCCCACAAAUCUCCAGGAACUUCCAAAGUUGGCAACUCUACUCUGUGAAGGUCUGCUGUAGCUUUGUAGAGUUCUUCCUGCAGUAGUAAUCUGCUGGCAUGGCACAGGAUAAGUACUGGCUUAUGGUCUAGGUAAUUAUGGGAUGGCCGUUCAUUCCCUCUCUCUCUCACACACACACGCACACGAGAGGGGAGUUCACUUGAUACUCCUGAUCAGGUAUUUCACUGUAUGUGGACCAGUUGUCGUGCUGACUGUUUUUUCACAGUGACAAUGGGAAGAGUUUUGCUAUGGACACAGGACUGAAUUGCAUGUGACAACGUAGGUUUUCUUCAUUUUUAAAGCCUUUAGCAACCACAGAGGCCACCUGCAACAGAUAGGAAUGUCUGAACCUGCUUUGCUUCCCUGGUUUUUCUGUUAAAUCCCCCCCCCUUCCCAUAAUCCUUUUCCCCUAUUGGGAAAAAAUAUUAUCACCUGUAUGGAGAAAGGCUCAUUGAGGAGCCAUGUUUAGCAACAAGAAGCCUGGAAGGGGGAAAAAAAGAUUCUCUGUGUCUGGUUGAGGUUUUAAAACAUGUUGGGUGAAAAUGAAUGCCGCUGAGCAUUGGUUGCCAGGUAGUCUGCAGACACCACAGCUUCUGUUACUGACCCCAAAAGAAGACUGUACUUCAGUGAUGGGGAUCUAUUUUUUAAUUUGCCUUUUUUAAUUUGCAGAGCCCCCCGAAAGGGGAAAGCUUCCCCUUUGUGGGUUCAAUGUUUGGUCUGUCUGGAGCUGCCGACAGCCUUCCUCUCUACUUCUAGGAAACCAGCACAGUCUUUAGCCAUCUCCCCUUAAGGGCUAAGAUCCAGCCCUGAGCUCUACUAUAAUCAUCCCAGCAGGGCCAGGGUGUGUCUUCUGUAAACUGGACAACUCUGAGUUUAUCAGUUCCCGACAUAAGCUCACACCCGCCCUGCACCAUCUCUCCAUGACAAAUAUCGCUCCACUCCAACUUUUCAUUCCUCUUAAUGCACAUUUUCAAAUUCCCGAUUAACCCAAAGAGCUGACGUUCCUUCUGCUUUUGCGCUCAGGGCUGCUUACGAAAGCUCACAAUGACAAGGAUUGCCAGCUCCGGUUUGGGAAGUUCCUGAAGAUUUUGGAGGGGGAGCCUGGGAAAAGUGGGAGAGAAGGAACGUCGGCAGGGAUGUGUCGCCUUAGAGGCAGCUCUCCAAAGCAGCCAUUCCCUCCAGGGGAACGUGUCUCUGUAGCCUGGAGACCAGUUGUAAUUCUAGGAGAUCUUCAGCCACCACCACCUGGAGGUUGGCAACCCUAAAGCUAUUAAAUAAAUACAUAUUUUAGAAUAAGCUGUAUUCCAGGUGGGAUUUUAGAGCAGAAAGGAGGUAAAGUGUGGCCCACAGAUUAGGGCUUCCAACUCCGGUUUAGGAAAUUCCUGGAGAGUUGUGGGUGGUGGACUCUGGGAAGGAGUGGGAGCUCAGCAGGAACGUGAUGGAAUAGAAUUCACCCUUUGAAGUUGUCAUUUUCUCCAGGGGAAUGCAUCUCUGUAGUCUGGAGAUCAGAUGUAAUCCCACGCGAACUCCAGGCCUUACUACCUAGAGGUGGGCAACCCUACCACAGAUGACAGGAGGUCAGUGCCAUCUACAGCCCACUUCAGACUAGCACCUGAGCACUCUUUUUCUGUCUCUACCGACAGACAGAGAGGAAGAGAUCCUUUCCCCCAGUGUCGCAGGACCUCCCUGCCUUGUGUCUCCUCCUAAUACUGAUUGUAUUAACCUCAUACUGUGUAAUCCGCCUUGAGCCUCAGAGAGAAAGGCGGACUAUAAAAUGACAUAAAUAAAAAAAUAAAACUGUUCCCACUUGCACACAAACAAGAAUUAUGACUUUAUUUAUUUAUUUACUUAGUUACUUCAUUUAACCCCUGAUAUUUGUCCCCAUGGGGACCCAAAGGGACACAAAGCAUUCUCCUCCCCCCAUUUUAUUCUCACAACAAUUCUGUGAGUGGGUCGUUGGUCCAAGGUCAGUCCAGGAAGCUUCUACGGUACGGUGGUAUUCGAACCUGGGUCUCCCAGCUCCUAGUCAAACCACUACACCACUUUGCCUCUUAAAGCAAUCCUUGAACCAUGGGGCAGUGAAAACAAAAACAGGAGAACGGAAUGACAAGAUGAUUUAAGGUCAAGAUGGAGAAAUAAAAAAAGGCUGGUUCUGGAAAAUCAAGACCCCCCCCCCCCUCAUAGAUCUGCAGUUCUAACUACCUGAUGUUUUUAUUAAUUUUGUUGACUUUGUAUUUUUAGGAGCAAUCCAAAGGCAGCAUCUCAAAGUUGUUUUUAAAGAAACAAAUAGCGCAAAAGUCACCUGGCCAGCAUUUCAUGCUCCAGGGCAGCUGCCAGAGGAGGAGGUGCCAAGGUUCCCAGGCAGCUAUCUAACAGAAGAGGAUUGUUUUGGCUACCGAUGUUCCACCGAGAAUCAGCCUUGGGAAACUACUGCUCUCCCUACUUCAAAGGCGUUGUUUUGGGAACCGUGGGGGGGAGGAGGGGCCCGCUGGGAUCUGUUACUCUGUACCUUAUGCCUUGCCUAUCAUUGGUAACAAUGCAUAUGCACCAUCCUGAAUAUUGCAUUCAGGCUAGUGGACUAUAAUGAACUAUUUCUUCAAUAAAUUCCUUUUGGAAACAA
Molecule: long non-coding RNA, 4302 nt
Organism: Eublepharis macularius
Lineage: Eukaryota; Metazoa; Chordata; Lepidosauria; Squamata; Eublepharidae
Exons: 2
Source: RefSeq, a predicted model, not a curated record